Molecule: ribosomal RNA, 446 nt
Filed under: uncultured bacterium
Lineage: Bacteria
Description: bacterial SSU rRNA
Rfam family: Bacterial small subunit ribosomal RNA
Source: RNAcentral
UUCCAGACUCCUACGGGAGGCAGCAGUGGGGGAUAUUGCACAAUGGGGGAAACCCUGAUGCAGCGACGCCGCGUGAAGGGUGAAGUAUUUCGGUAUGUAAACUUCUAUCAGCAGGGAAGAAAAUGACGGUACCUGACUAAGAAGCCCCGGCUAACUACGUGCCAGCAGCCGCGGUAAUACGUAGGGGGCAAGCGUUAUCCGGAUUUACUGGGUGUAAAGGGAGCGUAGACGGCAUGGCAAGUCUGAUGUGAAAACCCGGGGCUCAACCCCGGGACUGCAUUGGAAACUGUCAGGCUAGAGUGUCGGAGAGGCAAGUGGAAUUCCUAGUGUAGCGGUGAAAUGCGUAGAUAUUAGGAGGAACACCAGUGGCGAAGGCGGCUUACUGGACUGUAACUGACGUUGAGGCUCGAAGGCGUGGGGAGCAAACAGGAUUAGAUACCCGCGUA